This 1596-nucleotide long non-coding RNA is filed under the name Glycine max (soybean). Its description in RNAcentral is "long non-coding RNA (GMAX_LNC000742)". Lineage: Eukaryota; Viridiplantae; Streptophyta; Magnoliopsida; Fabales; Fabaceae. The record is from RNAcentral.
ACUGGAACAUUCGGAAAUGGUCGGAGGAGAAUAAUGAGCACGUGUCAGCAUUGGAAGAGAUCGACGGGGAGAGUGCUCCUCCUCCGUCCGCGUCCCAGGUAGGGAUUUGAACGUUUGGGAUCAUCGUUUAGUGGUUCAGUUUGUUUCGGUCAUUAACAAUAAAUAUAUAAAGUGGUGCCUGGUGCCAUGGAAGGGGGCUUGCGGUUUGUUUAACCAAGGUUGAGUCAACAUUAAGUAACAACAAAAUAUCUUUAGUCUCAUCCGGUUACUAUAAUUAGCGGAUAAUUUUAUUUCUUAAAUAUAUAAUUAUAAAUUUAGUUUAAUCCUUCAUUUGAUUGGAUUAUUCUUUCAAUAUAUUAAGGGAUUAGUCUUUAACUUUUAAUUAAAUAUAUUAACUAAAACCAUAUAUAUCUAUAGUUCCCAUGAUGACGUGUCCACUGUCCACAUGGUUUGUUUUUGUCUAGCUUGCAUUAUAAGGGUUCGUGUUUAGCUUUAGUUUCUUUGUUUUUAGCGGUAACAACAUUAUAUGUCUCAGUUGAAUAAAACGACAAAUGUUUCAAUUUUGUUAAAACUCCGUUAAGUGAUUGAUUGAUACUCCGUUACGGGAUUGAUAGUUACUAUAUCUAUGCACGUGUAUUUGUGUAUGAGGAAUUUGCAAAGGAAUAUAAGGCUUGUUUGGAUUUUUGUUAAGAGGGGAAUGCUGAUUUUUUUUUAAAUAGAAUGAUUCGUUGAACAGUUACAUCAAGUUGCUGCUAAUGUUAUACAUGUAUUAUGGUGGAUUAUUUGCAACAUAGUAUAUUCUGUGGGUGGUUCAAUACGUGUAGGCUGUGUAAACUGGUAUAGAGGGAGCGGACUGGCCUGUUAGUCUGCUGCCUUCAUUGCUGUAAUUUUCUGCACUUCUUGUGCCUUUAAUGUAAUCAAUGUUAUUGCUGUUGAAAAGAAAUUGUGAGUCAAAUUUAAUAUAUAAAAUUUAUUAUUAUCAUUAAUUGUUAUAAAAAGAUAAUAACUUUUUUUUUUAUAAUUUUCAUAUGUAAUAACUAAAAUUUAGUUAAAUAAAGGGUUAUAAUAUAUUUUUAAUUGAUAGCUUAAUGUCAAAUUUAUAGGUGUUAAUUAUAAAUGAGAUAAAAUUUAUAGAUCAAUUAAUGUUUUUUUUAUUGUGUACCAAUUUUUUUAUUGAUCGAAAAGGUAAAAUUUAGGAGAGUUAAAUACUCUUUUCAUUUUUAUUAAUUAGUUGUCGUUUAUGGUAUUUUAGUAGGGUGACUGCUUUGAUAAAUAAAUAACAAAGGAAAACAUAUUUAUCCUAAAUUAGAUGCGGAUACACAUUGGAGAUUGGCUAGGAAGAAGUCAGUAGUUACAAAGUUAAAAUGAUCUUUAAUUAAUUUUUAUGCAACAAGAGACAAGACCUGAGCAUUGUUGAAGAAACAUUUUAGACUCAUAAAUGGACAUACAAAGACAAGGCAUAAAACUCCUCUGUUUAGGUGGCUGGGGCUAUGACCAGGAUAAAUGGAGUUGGUGGUGAAGGAUGCUUGAGGAAGGUGGAGUUGUUCCAGAUUUAGUUUUCGACUUAGAUGAUGCAUGGAACUGGCUAGUGACGUG